GCCUCCUUUCUCUCUGUCACUGCGUGUACCCCUGUUCUGUGCUAAUAUGUGUACCCUAUUUUAUGUAACCCCAUUCUGAGUGACUGUGUGUACCUCAUUUAUGUAACCCUAUUCUGAGUGACUGUGUGUACCCCAUUUUAUAUAACUCCUUUCUGAGUGACUGUGUGUACCCCUUUCUGUGUCACUGUGUAUAAUUAUAUUAUGUGUCACUAUGCUACCCCCAUUUUUAGUAAUUGAGAGAACCCCUAUUCAGUAACACUGUGUUACGUCCAUACUGUUUCACUGUUCAUUUUCCCACAUUUUGAGUAGCUGUAUCACUGUUUGUACCCCAGUUCUAAGUUACUGAGUCUACCUUAUUCUUUGUCGCUCUGUCUUUUUGUGAAUUGUAACCCUCUUUGCAGAUCUAUUUUUUUUCUCUUCCAUAUUGUUACUUUGUUUCCCUUUACUUGUUUUCCUACUUCUCUCUCAUAACUCAUUUUCCUCUCUCACAUUCCACCCCUAUUUAUAUUCCCUUCUGUAUCCACUUUCUCCAUUCUCAAUAUUUGGGGUUCCAGAUCUCCCCAGGAAUUAUGUGGAUCCAGUUUGCCCCCCUCAACAUCCCUCUGUCCAGGCGGCUGCAGACAGCUGCAGUUUUCCAAUGGACCUUCUCCUUCUUGGCAAUGGGUGAGUACAGCUUCUCUGCUAGGGACAGAACCCUGCAAGCUUCAUCCUGAUAGAACCCUGCAAGCUUUAUCCUGAUAGAACCCUGCAAACCUCAUCAUGAAAGAACCCUGAAAACGUUAUCCUAAUAGAACCCUGUUAACCUCAUCCUGAUAGAACCCGCAAUCUUCAUCCUGGUAGAACCCUGCAAAGGUCAUCCUGAUAGAACCCUGCAAACUCCAUCCUGAUAGAACCCUGUUAACCUAAUUCUGAUAGAACCCGCAAUCUCCAUCCUGAUAGAACCCGCAAUCUUCAUCCUGAUAGAACCCUGCAAUCUCCAUCCUGAUAGAACCUUGCAAGCUUCAUACUGAUGGAACCCUGCAAACCUCAUCCUGAUAGAGCCCUGCAAGCUUCAUCCUGAUAGAACCCUGCAAGCUUCAUCCUGAUAGAACCCUGCAAGCUUCAUCCUGAUAGAGCCCUGCAAGCUUCAUCCUGAUAGAACCCUGCAAGCUUCAUCCUGAUAGAACCCUGCAAGCUUCAUCCUGAUAGAACCCUGCAAGCUUCAUCCUGAUAGAGCCCUGCAAGCUUCAUCCUGAUAGAACCCUGCAAGCUUCAUCCUGAUAGAACCCUGCAAGCUUUAUCCUGAUAGAACCCUGCAAACCGCAUCAUGAAAGAACCCUGAAAACUUUAUCCUAAUAGAACCCUGUUAACCUAAUUCUGAUAGAACCCGCAAUCUUCAUCCUGAUAGAACCCGCAAUCUUCAUCCUGAUAGAACCCUGCAAUCUCCAUCCUGAUAGAACCCUGCAAGCUUCAUCCUGAUAGAGCCCUGCAAGCUUCAUCCUGAUAGAACCCUGCAAGCUUCAUCCUGAUAGAACCCUGCGAAAUUCAUACUGAUGGAACCCUGCAAACCUCAUCCUGAUAGAACCUUGCAAGCUUCAUAUCGAUAGAACCCUGCAAUCUCCAUCCUGAUAGAACCCUGCAAGCUUCCUACUGAUGGAACCCUGCAAACCUCAUCCUGAUAGAAUCUUGCAAGCUUCAUAUUGAUAGAACCCUGCAAUCUCCAUCCUGAUAGAGCCCUGCAAGCUUCAUAUUGAUAGAACCCUGCAAACCUCAUCCUGAUAGAACCCUGCAAACCUCAUCCUGAUAGAACCUUGCAAGCUUCAUACUGAUGGAACCCUGCAAACCUCAUCCUGAUAGAACCUUGCAAGCUUCAUACUGAUGGAACCCUGCAAACCUCAUCCUGAUAGAACCCUGCAAGCUUCACCCUGAUAGAACCCUGCAGAGAAUUCCAUUGGACAGAGCCAAUCAGAGCAUUAUGUUGCAAACCCUUUGAUAUAGUCUGCAGAACAUUUCAUUGUAGUAGGUUUUUUAUGAUGGAUUUCUGCAGAGCAUCACACAGCUAAAUAUAACUACCUUUAACUUUGCAGAGCAUUGCUACAUUAGAGGUCCAAUGGUCUUCGUGCCAUUGUUUUCUGCAGAUCUGCACCUGAUCCAUUAACCCCUGCACUGUAACCAUCACUUCUUUAGCCUUCCUGUUUGUAGUUUGCUCUACAAUCAUUGUGUUUGUGCUUUCUAGAUAUGGUUGUAUGUGUUUUGAUACGUACCAUGGCAGAUUGCUUAACAUUGUAACAUAGCUAGUAAAAUACAUUCACAUUUUUUCCCCAUUUGUUUUAGUGAGUACAUUUUACUUACAUGAUUUUAAUGCGUAUACAUGUUUGAUUGAAGUGGAGUUUUAUUGCCUUGCAGUUUUAUGAUCUAUUUAUACACACUGCAGAUAAAUGGGGGAUUUAUUGUGGGGCUCUGUCAUGCACUCAUUCACACUAUACACUACUGUGAGUGUAAUUGCUGUGGAGCUCUGCAAUUCAUUAAUAUACAAUAUAUCUGCUUACAAUCUAUUAGGAUUUGACGAAGGUGGUUAUAUAUAUACAUAGUUAGGUGUCUUGUCCAGAAGGUGAUCUGACUGGGAUUUGAACCUGAGUUUUUCAGUUCUGAGGCAGAUACCAGCUGAUAUAAUUGUGAGUUUUAUUGCUGUCCAGAUCUGAGAUAUACUAUACAGUGGUGUAUCCUGGUUUUGUGCUGCCCUAGGCAGGACAAAACUCAGGCACCCCCCCGCGCCACCCCCACCCGCGCCACCGCCACCCAACCUUCCCCCCUGCUCCGCCUUCUAAAUACACACACAUUCACUGACAGAUACGCAUUCACUAGCUAACAGAAACACACAGUCACUAACAGACACACACUCACACACUCACUAACAGACACACACACUCACAGGCAAACACACACACUAACAGACAUCCACACUAACACUAACAUACACUAACAUUAACAUACACACUAACACUAACAGACACACACACUAACAUACACACUAACAGACACACACUAACAGACACACACUAACAGACAUCCACACACACACACUAACAUGCACACACUAACAGACACAAACACUAACAUACACACACUAACAGACACACUAACAUACACACACUAACAGACAUCCACACACACACACUAACAUAUACACACACUAACACUAACAUAUACACACACACUAACACUAACAUACACACUAACAGACACUAACAUACACACACUAACAGACACACUAACAGACAUCCACACACACACACUAACAUACACACACUAACACUAACAUAAACACUAACAUACAUACACACACACACUAACAGACAUCCACACACACACACACACACACUAACAUACAUACACACACUAGUGGGUUUUUUUUUGGUUUUUUUAUUUAACCCCCCCCCAGCCUCCUUACCUUUGGUAAUGCUGGGGGGGGUUCUUCCUCUCCCUGGGGUCCAGUGGCUGCAGCGCUGGGCGGGCGGGCGGCCGGCGAGGGAGCUCUUCCCCUGAGCGCUCUGCUCAGCUCCCUCGCGCGCCGCCAGCAGAGUGAGGCUGGGAGCCGGAAGAUGACGUCAUCAACCCGGCUCCCAGCCUCACUCUGCUGGCGGCGCGCAAGGGAGCUGAGCAGAGCGCUCAGGGGAAGAGCUCCCUCGCCGCCCGCCCGCCCAGCGCUGCAGCCCAGCAUGUCUGUUAGCCGCGAGGCUAACAAGACAUUUGCCUUGGGCAUUUGGGGGGCGGCGUUUUUUGCCGCCCCCUGAAGAAUGCCGCCCAAGGCAAAUGCCUUGUUUGCCUCGCGGCUAAUACGCCCCUGAUACUAUAUACACACACACACAAAAUGUCCGACAAGUACACAGGACAGUAAAAACAUAGAAGUACUCUUAUGCGGUAUAAUAUCAUUCACUCUAUGUAAGAAACAUGCACAUAUCAUUAGAUAUUUGUUUAAUUAAAGUAAGAAUCACAAAACUUUAUACAUCACAGGAUGAAUCUGCUUAAAGGGGCACUAUAGUCACCAGAACAACUACAGCUCUGGUGAGUAGAAUCAUUACCUGCAGGCUUUUUGCUGUAAAGACUGUCGUUUCAGAGAAAAUGCAGUGUUUACAUUACAGCCUUGAGACACAUCCAAUGGCCACUCAUCAUAGGGCUGCUAGAGGUGAUUCCUGUGCCAUCUCUAUAAGAAAAUGCUGAUUGGCCAAGUCAGCAUUUGGCCUAACUCCCUCCUUUACAAACUCAGCUAAUAUAAUGCUUUUGCUAUUGGAAAACAUUGGAUUUUCAGAGAUGAUGAUAUCAGUAAAGGAGGGGGCAGUGCCUGUGCUGGAUUCUGGCGAUAGGUACGUUUUAUUAUCUUUUAAGGGAGGUAAAUGGUGGUUUUGACACUAUUGGGUUAGGGGUAUAUUUUUAUGUACCUGACUUAUAGUGUUCCAUUAAAUUGCUAGGAACUUAAUGUGAAAUUUUUAGCUCAGAAUAACGGAAUUGGAAAUAUUAUCUAAGUAAGCAUACAUAUAGACCUGUGAGUAAACCCGGAUAGAUUGGAAAUGCCAAAAGACAAAGAACGACCUCCCACUGAACACGCUCAAGUCAAGUUGACACAAAUGGGAAGAUAUACUCAACAAGUUCUGUAGAUGAUACAUUUAGUGUGACACUUAUUUUCCUUCAGAACAUCUUAAUGAUUGUCAACCUGAUCCUUCUCAAUAUUAUGUUGGAGAUUCUUUCUCAAUGUACUGUGAGAACCUCAGGUUGGAUGAGGUCCAUCAGCAGCUAUAUUAAACCAAAUACUGGAUGUGCCUAUGAAAGCAUAGACUGGGUAGUUGUAGUGUGUUCCUAGUUAAUUAAUGAUUGAAUGGAUAGUGAAUUAUUGAGAAAGAUUCUGGUUUAUUUCAAUAACUGAACAUAAUAAUAAUAUGGACACCUUCUCCUAGCAUUAUCCAAUUAUAGGUCAAGUAGUAGUAAAAUCUAAUGUUAAUCCAGAUGUGGUCAUCCAGAGUUAUUUGCUAAGUAACGAGCUGAGCAAACCGCACAACUCAACAAGUUGACCUUCGAGAAGCUACAAACAUAUGAAGGCUUUCUUCUGUUUCCUAAUUAAACUUCUUUGAGCAUCAAAACAUUUUCCCAUUCUCUGUUUCUCAUUAGCUCAUUGCUGCCUUAUUCUCUACAUUGUCCUGGCAUUCUCCCGAUACUGGUUGUUUGCCCUUCUCUACGGAAUCUGGCUCUAUGUUGACUGGAACACUCCGUCCAAGGGUGGAAGGCGAUCGGAGUGGGUGAGAAGUUGGACGGUAUGGAAAUACUUUGCUGACUAUUUCCCCAUGAAGGUGAGUUGGAGAAAGGCUACCAUACUACAGAGAAAUGAAAAGGUUACUGAGGGCUAGGACCAAGGAUACCCCAUGGUUUGAAUUAAGUCUUGGUAUACUCUAUAUUCAUUGUUUUAAUCAUUACAGAUAGAUGUUUCAAUACAGUUCUAACAUCCUAUCUAAAGCUUGCAGGGCUAUUUCCUAAAAUGAGAAUUCUUAGGAUAUCAACGUGACUUCAAGGUAAAUUUCAAAUUUGAGGUCAACGCAGCCAAGCUGAAAGCAUUGCUGAUUGGUUACUAUGCCUUAACUUCAAAUUUCACUUUGAAUUCCCAGCUAGUCUAACUUUAGUAAACCUUUUGUUAUAUUGCUGUAAGUACCAAGAAAUGACAAUGCUCAUGGACUGAGUGUAUA
This 5711-nucleotide long non-coding RNA is filed under the name Pelobates cultripes (western spadefoot toad). The record is from RNAcentral. Lineage: Eukaryota; Metazoa; Chordata; Amphibia; Anura; Pelobatidae.